CUUUACUGUAACUUGAAAUUGAAAUUGGACUUUAUUUGCGCAGUAUAGGUGGGAGGCGUUGAGAAUAUUCUUGCGGGAAUAUUGGAGCCAUCAGUGAGAUACCACUCUUGUAAUGUUAGAUUUCUAACUUUGGAUCAUUAUCUGGUCAAAGGACAGUUUCAGGCGGGCAGUUUGACUGGGGCGGUCGCCUCCCAAACGGUAACGGAGGCGUACAAAGGUUUCCUCUGAACGGGUAGAAAUCGUAUCUAGAGUGUAAAGGCAUAAGGAAGCUUGACUGUGAGACCUACAAGUCGAGCAGGGACGAAAGUCGGUCUUAGUGAUCUGACGGUGCUGAGUGGAAAGGCCGUCACUCAACGGAUAAAAGUUA
This 367-nucleotide ribosomal RNA is filed under the name uncultured organism. Its description in RNAcentral is "bacterial LSU rRNA". It matches the Rfam family "Bacterial large subunit ribosomal RNA", at positions 2099 to 2465 of the family's 2925-position model. The record is from RNAcentral.